RNAcentral lists this ribosomal RNA (253 nucleotides) under uncultured bacterium. Its description in RNAcentral is "partial 16S ribosomal RNA". It matches the Rfam family "Bacterial small subunit ribosomal RNA", at positions 524 to 776 of the family's 1533-position model. The record is from RNAcentral.
UACGAAGGGAGCUAGCGUUGUUCGGAAUCACUGGGCGUAAAGCGCACGUAGGCGGAUGUGUCAGUCAGGGGUGAAAUCCCGGAGCUCAACUUCGGAACUGCCUUUGAUACAGCACGUCUUGAGUCCGAUAGAGGUGGGUAGAAUUCCUAGUGUAGAGGUGAAAUUCGUAGAUAUUAGGAAGAACACCGGUGGCGAAGGCGGCCCACUGGAUCGGUACUGACGCUGAGGUGCGAAAGCGUGGGGAGCAAACAGG